Molecule: long non-coding RNA, 1435 nt
Filed under: Mus spicilegus (steppe mouse)
Lineage: Eukaryota; Metazoa; Chordata; Mammalia; Rodentia; Muridae
Description: lncRNA (ENSMSIG00000005792.1)
Source: RNAcentral
GUUUUUAGCUUCUUUUGAAAAACAGAGACAGACCAUUCCAAGGCCACUCCUUCGACCAAGUGGCCGUACAAAUGGGAUCCAAGUUAAAGGAGCUUUGCAGUGUUCCCGCACUCCCUUCUUCUGUCUGGUUUUCUUCCCAGAUGUAUUUGUUCUGUUGAUCACUGGGCUAAACAAAGAAUCUCUACUCUCCAAUGCUUGGGAUUUGCAGGUUUUCAGUGUGGCAUGAUAAGCAGGUCCCCCUUAACUUCUUGUUUUUGACAUCUAUGGAAAUGAACACCGUGAAGAUGUGGCGGCUUUCUCAUGGGGCUUUUACAGACAGAGCAGUUCCCUAGCAAAGUGACAUUUCAGAUUCAAGGAGGCAAGCCAAGUCAUAAUUGGCCCUGUCACCAUCUGAGGUUGACACUGGCACCUCUUGUGUUUGCCCUGGUUGAGUAAUCUGUUUGUGUCUGAGGAGGCCACACACAGGCAGAUGUGAGCUCUGUUUACAUCCAUUUUCUGCUUAGAAACUUGGUUCCUCUGGGUCACAGCUCUGGAACAACUGAAAGAUUGGAAAUUUACUGGUACGAACUUGGUCAGAAUGACUUCCCUGGAGCUGGUUGUGGUAGUCGACCUUCACUUUCCCCGGGUUUCAGCAAAGGAGACUUCUGACUGACAGCCCAGGCGACGACAGCAGCUGUUAUUCCAGUGACAGAAUCCACUCAAGAGAGUUGGGACCGAGGUUAUCAAGGAGCUGAGUUCUGAGUUCAGGUGCCCACGUGGCAGAGGAAUGACGCCUCCUGGCCCUUCAGACCUUUGAGACGGCCGGGAGGCCCUAGAAAUCACCUCAAGUCUCCAGUCCAGGACACAGCUGCCUAGGGGAGUCCCAGGGAAAGGCGGCAGAGAUUGCAUGGCCCGUGGCGGACUCCAGCGCAACCUCUGCGGAAUCUACCUGAUUCCAAACCACUGGCACUUCCGGCACACAAAGCCCCUAGCGAAGAGGAGGCAAGAGAAGCCAGCUAGGAAGAGGCCCAUCACUUGGCUACAAAGCAGAUGGACCACCUCCUCAGGGCUCCUGGAAACUGCUGAAGCACAAUGAGGGAGGUGACAUCACUCACAGGAAGGAAUCAAGCAUUUACAGUGGACUUGAGACUGCAUCCUUCAGACUGAAGUCCUGAGGCCCAGUUCUGAGUCAGACUCUCUCUCUCUCUCUCUCUCUCUCUCUCUCUCUCUCUCUCUCUCUCAUUUUUCUUUUCUUGGCUCAGGAAAUUUUAACCAGGAAUUGCUUUAAUAGGUAUAAUUAGCUAUAGUUUUGUUCCCUAAUCAGCCUUGUUUCUAAACACAUUACUAGGAAUCUAGGAGGGUCCAACCAGCGCCACAGCAUAUUAGCUGAAGAAUCCAGAGUCUACUCUUGGAGUUCAUAAGUCCCACUAAUAAAAAUAAUAUAAGAGCUGACCCA